This is a long non-coding RNA of Anguilla rostrata (American eel), 680 nucleotides long. RefSeq lists it as uncharacterized. Lineage: Eukaryota; Metazoa; Chordata; Actinopteri; Anguilliformes; Anguillidae. The transcript is spliced from 3 exons. The record is from RefSeq and is a predicted model, not a curated record.
UCCAGAGCAAAGUACAAAACUUUUUACACAGCAUUUAAAUUGCAUCCGUUUAUACAGCUGGAUAUAUAGUGAAGCAAUGCAGGUUAAGGGUGAAUUUCUCAAGGGUAGAACUCUUCUAAUUAUCAGCUUAAUGCAGACCUUUAACUGUUGAAUGAGGUGUGCUUUGUUUGGAGUGAAAACCUAAAUAACGGUAGAUUUCCAGGAACAGGGGGUGAAUUCACAGCACGAGGACACGAUUCCAGCAGCUUCUCCUCUCUCCCGGUUCUGAACGAGAGGCACUGCACGGCGCGUGGAGCCACAGUCGCAUCGAUCGCGCGGAACAUUGCGAGAAGCCGAAAACGCAGAAUUAUUCAUCACACAGCUGACAGAUUUCCACUGGCAGCUGCAGCGGUCUGUCACGCCGCUACGCCUGCGCUGAUGCAGGCCACUGCCUGUCACUCUCCAUCCGCUGAACUUAUUUUACGAUCGAUACUUUGUUAGAUGUUGCAAGCAGCCUUAUUAAAUAAAAAAAAUAAAUACAUUUUUAAAAGAAGAGGAAAUUCUACUCACCCGUUAUUUAUUUUUUUGCUGACGGUGUUUCUGUGAGACGAAAAUGUUGAAAUGAAAGCCAGCCGCUGCAAAUGAGGUCAUUAGUGAGCUUUUUGUCUUCAGGUGUGCGGGCUGAAAGAGCCAAGAGGAAA